This is a long non-coding RNA of Sander lucioperca (pikeperch), 108 nucleotides long. RefSeq lists it as uncharacterized. The record is from RefSeq and is a predicted model, not a curated record. NCBI's taxonomy places the organism in Eukaryota, Metazoa, Chordata, Actinopteri, Perciformes, Percidae. The transcript is spliced from 4 exons.
CAAACAGGUCCAGGUGGCCAUUUUUACUCUCAAGGGAUUUCUCCAUGGCUGUCUUCAGGAAGACAUCCAGAGAUGGUUAAACAAAGUAGUCUUUCCCCAGGAAGUCCU